Pelobates cultripes (western spadefoot toad) is the source of this 203-nucleotide non-coding RNA. Lineage: Eukaryota; Metazoa; Chordata; Amphibia; Anura; Pelobatidae. The record is from the annotation of a GenBank genome assembly.
CUCGCAGAACCUGUUUCACCCUUUCAGUGCAGUCUCGGCAGAGUCGUUCACUUCUCGUCUGAAGGCAGAAAGAUUCUGUAUGAACCUGUCUCGAUUCUUUUUGUGAGCAAGUUCCUUUCAAUGCCCUCCACCAUCAAAUUCUCAAAGCAUAGAUGCAUGGCUUGUUGCUUCUCAGAGGGGGCUGGCUACUAACAAUUCUGCUC